Molecule: long non-coding RNA, 1432 nt
Organism: Diorhabda sublineata
Lineage: Eukaryota; Metazoa; Arthropoda; Insecta; Coleoptera; Chrysomelidae
Exons: 5
Source: RefSeq, a predicted model, not a curated record
GUUAAAAUUAUGAAGCUGAAGAAAGCCACAGAGUUUAAAAAUAUUAGCAUCCAAAUAACACCAACAUUAUGAAUUAGUGAAAGGUAGUAGGAAGAAGCUUCACAACAUAUUAUGCGGAUAACCAGAAUAAAUCAGGAAACAGCAGAAACAAGUGAUGCAUACUGUUUAUAGUAAUAAUUAAGUUCGGUGGGUGUACAAGAAGAGAAGUUGCCAAUUCGAGAAACUUAUGAGAAUGGGGACUUGGUUGGAACGCAGUUAAUUAUUAUGAAACCCUAGCAUUAUUGAUACAUGCAUGGUCACAAGAGAAAUAGGGGAAUUGUUGCAAGAACCCAAAAAAAACCAUAUAAAUUGAUGAGUCCUGUUUAUUCACAAACAAUAUACAAUUGAGGACGCAUCACUAGGUGUUUGUGGGAAUUUGUCAAGAGGAUGGGAAAUGUUUUUGUUUGCCGUGCCUUUCAGGAGAAAAAAAUUGUGGCUUUAUAUUAUUGGCCAGUACUUAGAACCCGGAACUACUAUUAUGUCUGAUGUGUGGAAUUCCAAUACCAAAACUAUUAAAGUAGAAGAUGAAUUUUAUACACUUCACUGUUAAUCAGUUCACUGUUAAUACAGAAACUGGAGCACAUACAUAAAGAGCAAAGAGAAGGUUGAAGUAGUAACUUAAAACUGAUUUGCCAACUAAGAUAUUAAAAUGCAAAUAGUAGAAAACAAGAUUAAUCGCAAUGAGUAUUUGCUCUUUGGAUGGAUCAAUAUGACUUGAUAAUCUUACUAAUCUCCCUUUAUUCAAUAUGUAGUAAGAAAGCUGCAAAUAAUUAUUUGUAUAGCUUCAGUACAAAUGAUUUCUCAAAAGUGAAAACAAUACUAUUUGCUCGUAUAUGUUUUUCUAAGCUGCCAAACUCUCCCAGGCAGGCCGCGGGUUCGCCAUCCCUAGCCAAAGAACACCUCUGAGUUGAAGAGGAGGCGCUCCAUUAUGUUAGAAACAAAGAAAUGUAAUCAAAAUGAGUAUUUACAUAUUGUAGUCUAUGAGUUCUUAGCCUAACAGAAUAAUUUAAUAGAAUAAAACCAAUAUUAUAUCAUUAGAAAACCGGUAUAAACAAAGUGACUCAUUUUAUUUUCUCAGCAUGUUGAUACCAACGCAACGGUUGUAAUAAAAACAUUUUCCUACUUUCCUCACAUCGAUGGUCAAUAUAUAUUUGCCUUUAUCUGGCAAUAAAAAAAUAAUUGAAAAUUGUCAAAUAUUGUAGAGGAUAUCUCGUUUAAAAUAUACAAUUUUUUAUAUUAUUUGGAACUACAUUUGGCAUUUGCUGGUCUGUCGACGAUACUAUAUAACCAAAAUGCGCUACUCUGUUUCACAGGUUAACAUAUUUACAUAUGUACUCUGUAUUUAACUAUUGCACAUUGUAGAAAGUGAAGGUAAUAAAAUAUGUGAUUACUA